GGGCCGGGUCGUGACUGGCGCGCUUGGGAUGGGACCGACCAUCGGGGAGCGGCCCGAAGGGAAACUGUGCCGUGCGCCUGGGCCGAACCG
Molecule: non-coding RNA, 90 nt
Filed under: Streptomyces glaucescens
Lineage: Bacteria; Bacillati; Actinomycetota; Actinomycetes; Kitasatosporales; Streptomycetaceae
Description: ZTP sequence
Rfam family: ZMP/ZTP riboswitch aptamer (pfl RNA motif)
About the family: Previously known as pfl RNA. ZMP is also known as AICAR.
Source: Rfam by way of RNAcentral